This 577-nucleotide unclassified non-coding RNA is filed under the name Hevea brasiliensis (rubber tree). The record is from RNAcentral. Lineage: Eukaryota; Viridiplantae; Streptophyta; Magnoliopsida; Malpighiales; Euphorbiaceae.
GGAGCCUAGUGAGCCUGGAGCCUCAUGCGCGCCUUAAUAACUAUGGCAACAACUUUAGCUCCAGAAACAACAAUCAGCUAGCCAAAUGCUAAAUUAAAUGAUCAUUAUGUGACCUCACUGCAAGAAAAAGCAACCUUGAAAAGCUGAUAUCUCUUUUCCGAUAUAUAAAUCAAACUCAGAAUCAUGGAUAAGACAUUGAAGUCAGCAUUGGAAAAUUGGAAAAUGAAAACCAAGAAAAGAAAAUAAGAUGAACCCGAAAGCAGAAAAUAUCUCACAUGGAUGAAUCAAAGAACUGGUUUUUACUUGAUGGUACCAAUCCCACCACAGUUUCAUCAUCUGAAUAGAACCCAAAACAUGAAGAAAAGGAAAUCCUUCACAAUCUAACAAAAAAGGAUUUUCAUUUGAACUUUCAGUCCAACAAUUCUUCAGCCCAACCAAACAGAAAUACACAAACAAAAUCUAUAAAACAGUGAAAAAGUAAUGGUUCAAUAGUCGAAAUACUGAAAUUUACUUUAGACAUGACAUUAUUAAAAUAUGCAACAACUAAUAAUCCAAAAUCAGCUGCAUAAUCUAAAAU